RNAcentral lists this ribosomal RNA (363 nucleotides) under Triticum aestivum (bread wheat). Its description in RNAcentral is "partial small subunit ribosomal RNA". Lineage: Eukaryota; Viridiplantae; Streptophyta; Magnoliopsida; Poales; Poaceae. The record is from RNAcentral.
AUGUUGAGUCCAUGGAUUAUACACACCCUCACCCUUCCAUCAUUGCUAGCCUCUCUAGUACCGCGCAACUUUCACCGGUACCAUAAACCCACCAUAUACCUUCCUCAAAACAGCCACCAUACCUACCUAUUAUGGCAUUUCCAUAGCCAUUCCGAGAUAUAUUGCCAUGCAACUUUCCACCGUUCCUUUUGUUAUGACAUACUUCAUCAUUGUCAUAUUGCCAUGCAUGAUCAUGUAGUUGACAUCGUAUUUGUGGCAAAGCCACCGUUCAUAAUUUUUUCAUACAUGUCACUCUUGAUUCAUUGCAUCCCGGUACACCGCCGGAGGCAUUCACAUAGAUUCAUAUUUUGUUCUAAGUAUUGA